This 253-nucleotide ribosomal RNA is filed under the name uncultured bacterium. RNAcentral describes it as "partial 16S ribosomal RNA". It matches the Rfam family "Bacterial small subunit ribosomal RNA", at positions 524 to 776 of the family's 1533-position model. The record is from RNAcentral.
UACGUAGGGUGCAAGCGUUAAUCGGAAUUACUGGGCGUAAAGCGUGCGUAGGUGGUUUGUUAAGUCUGAUGUGAAAGCCCUGGGCUCAACCUGGGAAUUGCAUUGGAUACUGGCAGGCUAGAGUGCGGUAGAGGAUGGCGGAAUUCCCGGUGUAGCAGUGAAAUGCGUAGAGAUCGGGAGGAACAUCUGUGGCGAAGGCGGCCGUCUGGACCAGCACUGACACUGAGGCACGAAAGCGUGGGGAGCAAACAGG